RNAcentral lists this unclassified non-coding RNA (340 nucleotides) under plant metagenome. RNAcentral describes it as "partial contains 5.8S ribosomal RNA, internal transcribed spacer 2, and large subunit ribosomal RNA". The stretch from base 1 to 103 matches the Rfam family "5.8S ribosomal RNA", at positions 50 to 154 of the family's 154-position model. The record is from RNAcentral.
GAAGUGCGAUAAGCAAUGCGAAUUGCAGAACCGUGAGUCAUCAGAUUUUUGAACGCAACUGGCGCUGACUGGCUAUCCAGUCAGCAUGCUUGUUUCAGUGUCUCUUUAUCUCAUCACCCAAAUCUUAAUGCGAGAGCUACCCUUCUCUUGCUAAGCAUGAAAGCACUCUACGCUCUGCGAGCGGCUUCGAUUCGUCGAUGUCCGCACUCAAUGCAGCAGUCACAUUCUUGCAAUGUGAACUCAUUGAGAGUUGAGGUAGUGCAGCGUAAGCUGCCAGUGCUUAGACACUCAAACUUUACUUGCAUCUGAAAUCAAGCAGGAUUACCCGCUGAACUUAAGC